RNAcentral lists this ribosomal RNA (1109 nucleotides) under uncultured cyanobacterium. RNAcentral's name for it is "bacterial SSU rRNA". It matches the Rfam family "Bacterial small subunit ribosomal RNA", at positions 389 to 1514 of the family's 1533-position model. Lineage: Bacteria; Bacillati; Cyanobacteriota. The record is from RNAcentral.
GAGCACGCCGCGUGAGGGAUGAAGGCCUCUGGGCUGUAAACCUCUUUUAUCAAGGAAGAAGAUCUGACGGUACUUGAUGAAUAAGCCACGGCUAAUUCCGUGCCAGCAGCCGCGGUAAUACGGGAGUGGCAAGCGUUAUCCGGAAUUAUUGGGCGUAAAGCGUCCGCAGGCGGUUUUACAAGUCUGUUGUUAAAACGUGGAGCUCAACUCCAUUUCGGCGAUGGAAACUGUAAGACUAGAGUGUGGUAGGGGCAGAGGGAAUUCCCGGUGUAGCGGUGAAAUGCGUAGAUAUCGGGAAGAACACCAGUGGCGAAGGCGCUCUGCUGGGCCAUAACUGACGCUCAUGGACAAAAGCCAGGGGAGCGAAAGGGAUUAGAUACCCCUGUAGUCCUGGCCGUAAACGAUGAACACUAGGUGUCGGGGGAAUCGACCCCCUCGGUGUCGUAGCCAACGCGUUAAGUGUUCCGCCUGGGGAGUACGCACGCAAGUGUGAAACUCAAAGGAAUUGACGGGGGCCCGCACAAGCGGUGGAGUAUGUGGUUUAAUUCGAUGCAACGCGAAGAACCUUACCAGGGUUUGACAUCCUGCGAAUUCCUUGGAAACUUGGAAGUGCCUUCGGGAGCGCAGUGACAGGUGGUGCAUGGCUGUCGUCAGCUCGUGUCGUGAGAUGUUGGGUUAAGUCCCGCAACGAGCGCAACCCACGUCUUUAGUUGCCAGCAUUAAGUUGGGCACUCUAGAGAGACCGCCGGUGAUAAACCGGAGGAAGGUGUGGAUGACGUCAAGUCAUCAUGCCCCUUACAUCCUGGGCUACACACGUACUACAAUGCUACGGACAAAGGGCAGCAAACUCGCGAGAGCUAGCAAAUCCCAUAAACCGUGGCUCAGUUCAGAUCGUAGGCUGCAACUCGCCUACGUGAAGGAGGAAUCGCUAGUAAUCGCAGGUCAGCAUACUGCGGUGAAUACGUUCCCGGGCCUUGUACACACCGCCCGUCACACCAUGGAAGUUGGCCACGCCCGAAGUCGUUACUCCAACCCUUGUGGAGGAGGAUGCCGAAGGUGGGGCUGAUGACUGGGGUGAAGUCGUAACAAGGUAGCCGUACCGGAAGGUG